CACAUUGAUUGGGAAAGAUCAACUCAAGAUGAACACUUCCAUCGCAAUCCUGCUCAUUCUCUCACUCCAGUUUACUGGAUCAUUAUGUCAAGUUAACACAACUUCAGCAAAUACAGCAACUACAGCCAGUGAAGGAGUUCCUGGAUGGGGAAUUGCUGUCAUAGUUCUGGCUGCUGUGGCUGUCUUCCUCCUUUUGGUCGGCGCAUGUUUUAUAAUCAUUGUUCAGCGGAACUAGCGCACUAGCGCACAACAUCAACAUCAACAAAGAUGAACUCUCAAAGCAUAGCAUCUCGGUGUUUACCUGCUAGUGUUAAUCUCUCUGUAUUUUGGGCGUGUUUUGGAUUUACCAUAGAAGUGGCUUCUUGCCGUAUGACAUGGGAAGAGACGCAUUAUUACAUUGUGUAACUUCAGUAACUGUGUAUUAUAAAUAUGAAUAAAAUAUAAACUGACUUA
Long non-coding RNA from Pelobates fuscus (common spadefoot toad), 453 nucleotides. RefSeq lists it as uncharacterized. Lineage: Eukaryota; Metazoa; Chordata; Amphibia; Anura; Pelobatidae. The record is from RefSeq and is a predicted model, not a curated record. The transcript has 4 exons.